CCUACGGGUGGCUGCAGUGAGGAAUAUUGGUCAAUGGUCGGGAGACUGAACCAGCCAAGCCGCGUGAGGGAUGAAGGUACAGAGUAUCGUAAACCUCUUUUGUCAGGGAACAAAGGCGGGGACGUGUCCCCGGAUGAGUGUACCUGAAGAAAAAGCAUCGGCUAACUCCGGGCCAGCAGCAGCGGUAAUCAGGAGGAGGCGAGAGUUACCCGGUUUUAUGGGGUUAAAGGGGUGCGCAGGCGUUUUGUUAAGUCAGCGGUCAAAGCCCGGGGCUCAACCCCGGCCCGCCGUUGAAACUGGCAGUCUCGAGUUGGAGAGAAGUAUGCGGAAUGCGCGGUGUAGCGGUGAAAUGCAUAGAUAUCGCGCAGAACUCCGAUUGCGAAGGCAGCAUGCCGGCUCCACACUGACGCUGAGGCACGAAAGCGUGGGUAUCGAACAGGAUUAGAUACCCUAGUAGUC
This 459-nucleotide ribosomal RNA is filed under the name uncultured bacterium. RNAcentral's name for it is "partial 16S ribosomal RNA". It matches the Rfam family "Bacterial small subunit ribosomal RNA", at positions 338 to 795 of the family's 1533-position model. The record is from RNAcentral.